This 735-nucleotide long non-coding RNA is filed under the name Sus scrofa (pig). RNAcentral's name for it is "lncRNA (ENSSSCG00070019654.1)". The record is from RNAcentral. Lineage: Eukaryota; Metazoa; Chordata; Mammalia; Artiodactyla; Suidae.
AUGAUAAUAGAAAAAAGGUUUAAAGAUAUAACUUCAGUGUCUUAUUUCAUUGUCCUAGAUGCAGACCCACCAUCAGAUGUGCUGAUUUUAGGACAAGAAGAAGAUACAGUAUAUUUGUCUUGGAAACUCCCACAUGGAGGCUUUGAAAAGUCUCAGAUAUCCUAUUGUAUGACAUCUAGAAAGGAAAAGCUGUUUAAAGCAAUUGUUUAUGGCACCAAAGCCAAAGCAAAGAAUUUGACUCCGGGGAUGGACUACGUGUUCCAUGUGAAGACAGUUAGAGACAAAGAUUACAGUGUAUCUGUAGUGAAAAAAGUGGCUACAAAACCAUCUAGGUUAUGUGGCUUAACCUUGAAAGCUGUGAAUACAUCUUCUGCAAAUUUAAUGUGGAAUGCAGCAGAGACCAACUUCACUCAUUACAUGAUUUAUAUAUCAAACAGAACAUUUGCAAAAGAAUAUCUUAUUUGGGGAAGGAUGACGGAGCACAGAGUUACAGAUCUGACUCCAGGUGGAAUGUAUAACAUCACAGUUCAUCGAGUGAGAGGAGGUGUUGAAGGAUCUGGCACAUUUAUCAGUGUCAUUGCAGAACCAGAAAAACGCAAGAAACGUAAAGCCUUACGUAUUUCUGCACCUUCCUUUUCUCUGCACUGGAGCCUUCCCUCUGGCCACGUGGAUCUUGUUCCUGACAGUGGCUUUGUUACUAUCACACUUCUCGGAGGUGGAGAGUAUCAGGUAUAG